GUGCCAGCAGCCGCGGUAAUACGAGUGGUGCAAGCGUUAUUCGGAAUCAUUGGGCGUAAAGGGUGUGUAGACGGCAUAUCAAGUCAACUGUUUAAUUCUCCGGCUUAACCGGAGGCCAGCGGUAGAAACUAAUGUGCUAGAGGGUGGAAGAGAGAAGUGGAAUUCUCGGAGUAGCGGUAAAAUGCGUAGAUCUCGAGAGGAACACCAAUGGCGAAGGCAGCUUCUUGGUCCAUACCUGACGUUGAGACACGAAAGCGUGGGGAGCAAACAGGAUUAGAUACCCCGGUAGUCC
Molecule: ribosomal RNA, 292 nt
Filed under: uncultured bacterium
Lineage: Bacteria
Description: partial 16S ribosomal RNA
Rfam family: Bacterial small subunit ribosomal RNA
Source: RNAcentral